Long non-coding RNA from Amphiprion ocellaris (clown anemonefish), 1115 nucleotides. The record is from Ensembl. Lineage: Eukaryota; Metazoa; Chordata; Actinopteri; Pomacentridae.
GUUCAAUUGCGAAAACACUGGUGUGAAUGCGAACCGAACCAGUUGAAAAUAGCAACAUUGUAACAACUUUUGGGUCCAAACGAACCACUCUAGCGGACUAACAGGUGUGAAAGCACCCUAAGUUCCCCACUCUGCUGCAUCCGAGUUGGAGACGGAACAAUCACGUUGAUUCAUGAGGAGUCGGUGUAAAAUUCUGCUUUUGCAAGUCUCUUUUAACUUUAUAUCGCACCUCACCGGCUGCACGUAUCACCCUCCAUCCCAACACUGGAGCUCCCAGUAACUUUGCCAAACUUCCUGUCUUCAUACUGAGAUCCAGUAUUUUCGCCAAAUCCAAUUGUCGUUCCUCUUCUUGACAACCGUGUGAAGGGCUUUCUUUGUGAAAAUCGGGAGACGUAGCCGAGCGGUAGGCGCAUGUAGUCGGCCAUGGUGGUGACCAAACGCAUGCGCUGGUUGGCGUCGAGUGUCGCAGGGUUGAGCUGAAGGAGAAGGGUUGUCCAGGUGGUCAUUGUAAAUGUCUGAUAUAUUGUAUUAUUUUUCUCCUGCACAGUACUGUUUAUGUAUUAAGAAAACAUUGUAAUCCUGCAGUGCCACCUUGUGGUCUGUUCCACUUUUAUUUUGUUAAGCGCGCGUUUCUUCUUCUUCUGCGGUUUUUGUGAAGCCGACCUUCCUGUUUCUUUGAACAACGUUGUGCUCACGCGUCAUCGGAGAAACGCUCUGAACAGCGACGUGUGUGUGUUUAUCGAGCCUGGAGAGCAUGCUAGCUGAUGGCUAACACUUAAAUUGGCGCCCUUGGAACGACGGAAUGAGGACCUUCAUCGUGCCUCCUCCUCCUCCUCACUGUAGUGAUCGGUCACUUUGAAGCUCUCUACAUCUGGUACCUCCAACACGGGUAACUACAAUACAGACAAAGCAUAUAUUUCAGUUUUCUUUUAUCUUGUAGUGAAAGAAAAGUAUCAAGGUUACUCUAGGAGUGUUAUUUUUGUAGUAAGCUUAACUGUAGUAUUUGCUGUGUUUAUUUUAGGUUUCGUGGCAGAAGUUCAGUCAGUGCUGGUCUGCAAAUAAACCCAAGCUGCAGCAAUGCAAAAGCAGCUGUGUGAUUGAAAAACCUACUGUAG